RNAcentral lists this ribosomal RNA (533 nucleotides) under uncultured bacterium. RNAcentral describes it as "bacterial SSU rRNA". It matches the Rfam family "Bacterial small subunit ribosomal RNA", at positions 777 to 1315 of the family's 1533-position model. The record is from RNAcentral.
AAUAGAUACCCGGUAGUCCACGCCCUAAACGAUGUCAACUAGCUGUUGGGGCCUUCGGGCCUUGGUAGCGCAGCUAACGCGUGAAGUUGACCGCCUGGGGAGUACGGUCGCAAGAUUAAAACUCAAAGGAAUUGACGGGGGACCCGCACAAGCGGUGGAUGAUGUGGAUUAAUUCGAUGCAACGCGAAAAACCUUACCUACCCUUGACAUGUCUGGAAUCCUGAAGAGAUUUGGGAGUGCUCGCAAGAGAACCGGAACACAGGUGCUGCAUGGCUGUCGUCAGCUCGUGUCGUGAGAUGUUGGGUUAAGUCCCGCAACGAGCGCAACCCUUGUCAUUAGUUGCUACGAAAGGGCACUCUAAUGAGACUGCCGGUGACAAACCGGAGGAAGGUGGGGAUGACGUCAAGUCCUCAUGGCCCUUAUGGGUAGGGCUUCACACGUCAUACAAUGGUCGGGACAGAGGGUCGCCAAGCCGCGAGGUGGAGCCAAUCCCAGAAACCCGAUCGUAGUCCGGAUCGCAGUCUGCAACUCGA